Long non-coding RNA from Panthera uncia (snow leopard), 495 nucleotides. RefSeq lists it as uncharacterized. NCBI's taxonomy places the organism in Eukaryota, Metazoa, Chordata, Mammalia, Carnivora, Felidae. The transcript has 3 exons. The record is from RefSeq and is a predicted model, not a curated record.
ACUUCACAACACAUAAAGGUCAGGGCACAGAAAACAAGUCUUGGCCUGAGCUACAGAUUGAGGAGUUGUCAGGAUUUGGUAACAGUCGAAACCAUAUUUAUAGAUGGAAUUAUCCGAAAGAAGCGAAUACAAUUGAGGAGAGAAGGAAAGACCAAUGUUUCCAGUGCAAAGAAAGAGAAGAAACAGACCGAACGGGAACAGCCAGAGUGCAAGCCGGGUGCCCACACUUGUAGUCAAAGGAGCCCCAGGAAUGGACACAGCAGUGUUCAGUGAGGGCUGGAGUGAUUCUGGAGGAUGGCCUUGAAGGAUGGAGAGGAGAGCGAGCGGCCCAGGGCUGGCGCAGCUGCUGAAAUACGUCAUCAGAUACCCAGGCCUCUUCUGUAAUUUUGCUCUACCAUCCUCGGCUCAUGACUCUAGUCCUCAUGGUCACAAAAUAGCUGCUGCAAUUCCUGGCCUCACAGCAAUGCUCCCAGUGGGAAGAAGGAGGAAGGGCAA